CCUGUUACACUGGACUAAGGACUUUUAAUUCAGAACAACAAAGAACAAAUGCAGUCAGAAUACUUCCCUUUAAUUAAAGGGCACGCCAUCUUUCUACUCGCCUAAGGGCACUAUUUGGCUCCCAUAUUAUUUAACCUUAAUUUGACUAGGCACUUGCCUAGUCAGUUAAUUAAGAACAAAUUCGGAUUUACAAUGACGGCCUACUUCAGUUGGCUAUAUAUCAAUAAUAUCACUCAUGCAUGUUACACAAUGUUAAACAAAAGCAAGCUAGCUAAUAUGAUAGCAAUGCCUCCAUAGUCUUUGAUGAUAUUUAACUAAAGCUAGCUAGCUAAACGGUGGUGGCAUUUAGCUAUAGAAAGGUCGUUGCGUACGCAGUCGAACUAAAACAUAAAUAAUGGAUCAAUGCAGGAGAAUAUUUGGGAUUGGAACAUGUUUACAUUGUAACUACUAGCUAUAUCAAGAACAAUUGUCCUACAUUUUAAAGUAGUUACUUACUUAUAUCUUGUCAAAUGUGUCUACUUGCACAUGGCUGUGACGAGCAUAGGAAAAAGUUGAACCUGACGCUGUGUUCGUCGUCAUCAUACAUUAAAUGCUAUGUGUAGACUGUCAUUAAUUUGUGUGCUCUCAAAGGGGUGAGGUUGUGCACAACGUCAUUAAAUGGCGCCUUUGUUUUGCAAUCUUGCGGCUAGCAGUUAGCUCACCGGAGUACUGUGUACCGAAGUAUUUUAACGAAAUUUUAGAUGUCUAUUGACGUACUAUAUGUACAGUAAUCACCAGACGUGGAGUAGUUGAACUGUUCGCUGUCAGGCGAAAGUUUCUACCGAAUAGGGAGACCCAUGGAGUCUGCAGUGGAGAGUUCCCCCAUUGUUACAAACAAAGGCAUCACACUGCCUGAAGUGGAGAGUGCGUCCAUUGUUUCAGAAAGCGAGAAACCUAUUAUCUCUGCAGUAGAGACAGUGGAGAGUCCCUCAACCAUUUCAGAAAACAAGGAACUUACACCUUCAGCAGUGAAGGACAAGGAUGUCUACAUAGUUUCAGAAUGCAAGAAAACUACCCCCUGUGCAGUGGAGACUAACUACAAUGAGGAUGUCACCAUUGUUUCAGAAAGCACCGUCAGCAGUGGAGAAUGCCUCUAUCAUUUCAGAAAGUUUGUCACAUGAGGGCCAUCGCCUGUGGAUCGGUAACAUCGAUCCCAAAAUCACAGAGUACUACCUGGUGAAGCUGCUGGAGAGGUUUGGGAAAGUGAAACAGUUUGACUUCCUGUUCCACAAGUCUGGACCAAUGGAGGGCCAGCCCCGAGGAUACUGCUUUGUUAACUUACACACCAAAGAGGAAGCAGAGCGGGCGAUCCAUUGUCUAAAUGGGAAGCUGGCCCUCUCCAAGAAGCUGGUGGUGCGCACACGCACACGCACAGGUAAAGUCACCUUGACCAAGGCCAUGUACUGGAGAUCCCCUUCAGCUUUGUCUUUAACCGAGGGAUACCAGACAAACAGUGACACGCUACCUGCCUGCUCCAUGGUGCGACUGAGCUAAACGGGCUCCGCUCUGGUUACCUGGUCCAACCAUGGUGCGACAAGGUUUGAGGGUUUCCGAGGGGAUAAGAAUGGUCCUGCCAGCCUAGUGCCAUCGUGCAGUGCAGUGCAGUGCAGAGCUAGACUUACCAACCAGUCUUAGUACAAGUGCGACGAUCCAUGCGAUUGAGGCCAAGCUUCAGAUGAUGGAGAACCCAGAUGGAGAGGAGUACCAGGGCCACUCAACCUACAUGUACAACAAGCCCCCAGAGAAACACCUACAGCCCUACAGCAGACCCUUCCUCAAGUUCAGGAGAUGACACAAAUGAGAUGGAGACAGACCAUCCAACACCUAGGCUCGAACAAUUCCGGUAACUUUCCCAAAAUGUCCAGGUUUUGCAGAAAUCCCAGUUUGAAGAUUCCCAGUAUCAGAAGGGAAUAAGCAGGAAAUCCAGAAUCCUCCAACCAGAAUUUGUGGAAAAUCUGGUAAUUUUGGUAAAGUUACUAGAAUUUUAGUCAAGUUACUGGAAUUGUGGUCAAGUUACUGGAAUUGUGGUCAAGUUGCUGGAAGUGUGGUCAAGUUACUGGAAGUGUGGUCAAGUUACUGGAAGUGUGGUCAAGUUACUGGAAGUGUGGUCAAGUUACUGGAAGUGUGGUCAAGUUACUGGAAGUGUGGUCAAGUUACUGGAAGUGUGGUCAAGUUACUGGAAUUGUGGUCAAGUUACUGGAAUUGUGGUCAAGUUACUGGAAGUGUGGGCAAGUUACUGGAAUUGUGGGCAAGUUACUGGAAGUGUGAAUAUUGUCUAACUGUUAAGUUAUUAUUCCACUUUGGCACUCAGGCUACUUCCACUAGUCUGUUUGGACUAUCAUGUUUGGCUUGGUAAUGACUGCAGUUGGCAAGAGCACAAACAGAUCUGGGACCAGGCUACAGUGGGAGAGGUCAGGCCACCAAACCAAAACCUCUGUACUGUAUGGCUUCAGGUUUGGACAGACAGCACGACAAGCCAUUUGACAGGUGAAAGCCUCACACUGUCUGCUUUAUUUUGAGCUAGUGUGUAUUCUUACUUGGGAGAGGAGGGAUUUUUUAUUUGAGUUGUUUUUCUAACGGCUAUAUAUUUUAUGAUGUGUACAAUAUCACACCUUCAAUUUAUCUUACUGUUGUUUAUUUUUGUCAUUGUAAUGUUUAAUUUCUCUCUUUGCUGUUUAGUGUUGGGAGUUUGACAUUAUUAGCUUUAAUAAUUACCAAUUUUCCAGGGCACGUCGUCACAAAGCGUCUCAGAGAAGGAGUGCUGAUCUAGGAUCAGGUCCCUUCUCUUAUUCAUUAUGAUUAUGAUGUAGAAGGGAAGCCUAGAUCAGCACUCCUACUCUGAGAUGCUUGGUGAAUAUGGGCCCUGAUUUAGUGGAUCAUAUAAUGUUUCCUAUACAUGCUCAGUCUGAGUCCCUUAUUCAGCAUGUUAUGUUGGUCUGUAGUCACAAAAGGGAAGACAUGGCAUAAAAUUGUGUCUUUUGAAAACUGAGUAGUUGUCACCUUUUCUGUGUUUCUUGUGAUCAAAAGUCAUGAACAUGUAUUUAAUUCAUGUUUGUUUGAGUGUGAUUUGAUGGCAACUUUGUACAAUUGGAACUAUUUUUAUUCAUGCUAUGACACCCAGUAAACCAAGAAACUACAUUGUCACUCAACUCAUGCAUGGUUCCUUCAUUAAAUAGUAUUUUUUAAAUUGUA
This is a non-coding RNA of Oncorhynchus mykiss (rainbow trout), 3231 nucleotides long. NCBI's taxonomy places the organism in Eukaryota, Metazoa, Chordata, Actinopteri, Salmoniformes, Salmonidae. The record is from RefSeq and is a predicted model, not a curated record.